Long non-coding RNA from Saccostrea cuccullata (small rock oyster), 736 nucleotides. RefSeq lists it as uncharacterized. The transcript is spliced from 3 exons. The record is from RefSeq and is a predicted model, not a curated record. NCBI's taxonomy places the organism in Eukaryota, Metazoa, Mollusca, Bivalvia, Ostreida, Ostreidae.
CACUCGCGCUCACCGACUUGUGGGGAACUCACACCUGACAAAGGACCUUUCUUAUGGGGAAAGUUCAGAAUUGUGGGGAACUCUCUCGUUCCCCACAAAUAUGGUCAUGGGGUUUUUUGAAUUCUACGUGUUCUACUGAUAAUAUUUAUUCGAUUUGUGGUCAUUUUUGAAAAAAUCCCCAUAAGUCCGUAAAAUUGACUCGCAGUAAUUUUCUCACUGCACCGUAAAACGAAUGUUUGAGGAUGCUGGGAAAUGUUCAUUCGGAACGCAGCGGAAUUUAAACUGGUCCCCAUAUGAUACCAAUUUAUUGCGGGCAAUGGCUGCUCCGAGAAUAUGUGGUAAGUUUUCGGGUUUUCACCACAAGAGCAAAUUAUACAACUUUAUUCUUGAAAAUGUUAGAGACUGAGACUUGGAGUCAAAGUCAACAGACACGCUUGCAUGGACAUGAAGGAUGUAAAGAACUAGAGUAUUAUAACUGAAAGCAUUUUGUCUGGAUUUGUGUAUGGAAACAGAAGGAUUUAGUAUUGGUAUCCUGAAUUUUUGUCAACUUCUAGCCAAGAUCCUGUACUUAAGCUGAAUGUGGAGGACAGAUGUACACACAGUACUAGUAUAGAGGGUAAGUAGACCAUAAAAAAAAACAAGAUGUGUUUGUGAAACACUAUGCGCCCGGCGGCAACAAAGUUUGGAAAAAGCUAUUUUUAGCAUUAAGGUCACAGUCAAGGUCACAAAGUCAUUG